Molecule: ribosomal RNA, 479 nt
Filed under: uncultured bacterium
Lineage: Bacteria
Description: bacterial SSU rRNA
Rfam family: Bacterial small subunit ribosomal RNA
Source: RNAcentral
AUUGAACGCUGGCGGAAUGCUUUACACAUGCAAGUCGAACGGUAGAGGGGCAACCCCUUGAGAGUGGCGAACGGGUGAGUAAUAUAUCGGAACGUGCCCAGUCGUGGGGGAUAACGUAGCGAAAGUUACGCUAAUACCGCAUACGAUCUAAGGAUGAAAGCGGGGGAUCGCAAGACCUCGCGCGAUUGGAGCGGCCGAUAUCAGAUUAGGUAGUUGGUGAGGUAAAGGCUCACCAAGCCAACGAUCUGUAGCUGGUCUGAGAGGACGACCAGCCACACUGGAACUGAGACACGGUCCAGACUCCUACGGGAGGCAGCAGUGGGGAAUUUUGGACAAUGGACGCAAGUCUGAUCCAGCCAUUCCGCGUGCAGGAUGAAGGCCCUCGGGUUGUAAACUGCUUUUGUACGGAACGAAAAGGUUUCUAUUAAUACUAGGAGCUCAUGACGGUACCGUAAGAAUAAGCACCGGCUAACUACGUG